This 257-nucleotide ribosomal RNA is filed under the name uncultured prokaryote. RNAcentral describes it as "partial 16S ribosomal RNA". It matches the Rfam family "Bacterial small subunit ribosomal RNA", at positions 524 to 780 of the family's 1533-position model. The record is from RNAcentral.
UACGUAGGGUGCGAGCGUUGUCCGGAAUUACUGGGCGUAAAGAGCUCGUAGGUGGUUGUCGCGUCGUCUGUGAAAUUCCGGGGCUUAACCUCGUGCGUGCAGGCGAUACGGGCAAUACUUGAGUGCUGUAGGGGAGACUGGAAUUCCUGGUGUAGCGGUGGAAUGCGCAGAUAUCAGGAGGAACACCGAUGGCGAAGGCAGGUCUCUGGGCAGUAACUGACGCUGAGGAGCGAAAGCAUGGGUAGCGAACAGGAUUA